This is a non-coding RNA of Phrynosoma platyrhinos (Desert horned lizard), 72 nucleotides long. The record is from the annotation of a GenBank genome assembly. NCBI's taxonomy places the organism in Eukaryota, Metazoa, Chordata, Lepidosauria, Squamata, Phrynosomatidae.
GCCAGUGUGGCAUAGUGGUUUGAGUGUUCUACUGCAAGUAUGGAGACCAGGGUUCAAUUCACAGCUUGGCCA